RNAcentral lists this long non-coding RNA (376 nucleotides) under Homo sapiens (human). RNAcentral describes it as "non-protein coding lnc-UQCC3-1:1". The stretch from base 87 to 235 matches the Rfam family "Small nucleolar RNA SNORA57". Lineage: Eukaryota; Metazoa; Chordata; Mammalia; Primates; Hominidae. The record is from RNAcentral.
AGUGUGGUUUUAGCUGUAGUAGCCAGAUUGGGCGGCCGGGAGUGGUGGGGGUGCCGGGUGGAAGGCUCUGGGCGGGGUCUCAGGACCCUCCUUUUCUUGGCGGGGAUCGGGCUUGUGGUGCCGCUCCCCGUAAUGUACGGAGGAAGAGGGAAAGGGCUCUGGCCCCCUCGGCGUCAUGUCUUCGGUGCUGGCGGCUUCCCAUCCGCUGGUUCUAUCCUCAAACGCCGGGACACCGGGAAUCUCGGAGAAGGACAACCGAGAUCCAGCUGGCUCCUCCAUCGGGGUGCUCACACUUUCUCAUUUGAUUUCAGGUCUGCGGACGCUGUAUACCCUCCUCCACUUCCCGCUGCAGCCAAUAAAGGCCGUUCCUACCAUA